UAUAGACUAGGACAGAGGAAGGAGACCUUUCAUACAAUUUAAACUUGGAAUGGAUUGGAUGUUGCUGUUUGGAGCUGAGGCAGCCGUCCUGUGACCAUCUGUCAACAAAGACCCUUCGUAAAGGCGUGACCUGCUUCAAGAAACACGAUAUUUGAAAAUAUGAAAUCUACACAUCGAGACACAUUAAGAGUGACUGUUCGCAUGACAAAAGGGUUUGCCACUUUACAAAAGAUUCAUCCCAGUGUUUCUUAAAGAACCAUACAACUGUGAUGUAUUUUAAAUGUCUUUCAAUUAAAAGAA
This 300-nucleotide long non-coding RNA is filed under the name Homo sapiens (human). Its description in RNAcentral is "HSALNT0375336". Lineage: Eukaryota; Metazoa; Chordata; Mammalia; Primates; Hominidae. The record is from RNAcentral.